RNAcentral lists this ribosomal RNA (95 nucleotides) under uncultured bacterium. Its description in RNAcentral is "partial 16S ribosomal RNA". The record is from RNAcentral.
GUCAAGCCAUGAAAGCCGGGGGCGCCUGAAGUCCGUGACCGCGAGGGUCGGCCUAGGGUGAAACCGGUGAUUGGGCUAAGUCGUAACAAGGUAUC